CUUGUGCCCUGAGGCCCAAGAGCUGGAUUCUUUCUGCUUCUGCUGUAUGUGACAACUCUGAUGCCAGCUCCAAUGCACAAAGACAAGACCAUGUGAGCUCACAGAGAAAUGGUGGCCAUCUGCUAGCCUAAAAGAGGACUCUCACCAAGAACUGAAUCUGCUGGCACCCUGACCUUGGUAUUUCCAUCUCUUGGAAUUGUGAAAAAUACAUGUCUGUUGUUGAAGGCCCCUAGUGUUUUGCUACAGCAACCCGAGAAGACUAAGAUAUCCAGAACUGAGUCAGUUGAACGUGAUGCCUCUGGAAUGCCAGCUGGCUAUGAGCGUGUGAAGAAGUCUGUGUGGUCACUGACACUGAGCAGCACCCACAGUUCUACGGUAGGACCAUCCCAACACCACCUCCUGGGUGCUGCGUGACGUCACAGCCAGGUAGAGCGCUGCUGCUACUCUAAAAGGAAAAGAAUGUGGCUCCACCCUCCCAGGAAGACAAUCCUGCAGCUUCCCACAGGUAAUUCUUUCAAGGUAAGUAAAGGGAGGCCUGAGGUGAAAAGAUUUCUAAAAAUCACAUGGAUUGUUCACAUAGAGAGGAGAACCUAAAAUCCGGGCUUCUGGAUUCCCAGGACAAUAUUCUUUCCACUCUAAUCUGCAUGGAAACUGUUUAUUGGAACCCUUAAAAAAUUCCAAACUUUUUAUCUCAUAGAAGGUUAGCACAAAGAAGUAGAAGAUAAUUGAGAUCCUGUCUGGAGUGGACACAAGAUGCCUCUCGGUCACUCACGCCUGCCAUCUUUAUAACUCAUAAUAGAUGGUCUACACAAGAAUACACAGUGGACAGAUAAGUCCUACGUAUGCACUAAAAAAACAGUAA
Molecule: long non-coding RNA, 862 nt
Organism: Mustela erminea (ermine)
Lineage: Eukaryota; Metazoa; Chordata; Mammalia; Carnivora; Mustelidae
Exons: 5
Source: RefSeq, a predicted model, not a curated record